RNAcentral lists this long non-coding RNA (5134 nucleotides) under Homo sapiens (human). RNAcentral's name for it is "HSALNT0342450". The record is from RNAcentral. Lineage: Eukaryota; Metazoa; Chordata; Mammalia; Primates; Hominidae.
GAAAAUGUUAAGUAGAGUGAAAAAUGUAUCACUGAUUAACCAGUGGAAAUUUAUUACAGCAGUUAAGAGCCCUGGGUCUGGAGCAAAACUGCUGAGGUUUGAGGCCCCGUUUUGCUGCUCACUAGCUACAUGAUCUUGGGCAAGUUAUUUAAGCUCUCUGAGCUUCAGUUUCUUCCUCUGCAGAAUGGGGAUGAAAGUGGACUACUACCUCAUGGCAUGUUUUGAGGAUGAAAUGAGCUAAUAAACACAGUCUUCAGCCCUACAUUAGAAAUUAUUCCUUUGCAGGUGGUGCAAAGGAUCAGCACGGGAGUUUUGACCUGCUCCGUUUCCGACCUGGGUCGGUUCACCCCUCCUUAGGCAACCUGGCGGUUCCCCGCUCCAGGGAGGUCACCCUCUUGAUGCUGAAUUUAGCACGGACACCUGAUGGGCACAGUGCACUGCAGCCCAGAGCUCCUGAGCUCAAGCCAUCCUCCUGCCUCAGCCUCCAAGUAGCCAGGACCACAGGCACGCACCCUGAGGAGGAAGAAAUACCAGGUGCGCAUGCUCCAAGAAAAAGCCAUCUGAGGACGCGGCAAGAAGGCCGCCAUCUACAAGCCAAGGAGAGGGGCCUCAGGAGAAAUCGAACCUGUCACACCUUGAUCUUGGACUUCCAGCCUUCAGAACUGUGAGAAAGUAAAUUUCUGUGUUCAAGCUACCAGGUCUGUGGGAUUUUUUAUGGCAGCCCUAGCAGACUAAGACAGGCAUCAAUGGUUCCAAUGUUUUCAUUUUUUUUCCGGUAAGCAGACCGAAGCCCAGAGAGAUGAAGCAAUUUGCCCAAAGUCACAUACCAAGUUAACUGAAGAGUUGGGGUUAGAAUCCAGCUCUUGUGACUUCUCUCUUUUCAGUUUCCCUUCCCACUCCCCCCACUGAAAAGCUUUUGAGUGACUCUUUUAGAAAUCCCGGUUCUGUAUAUGAAGCAGAAUUGAGCACAGCUGCUCUAAUGAAGGGCUCAGAGCUCCCAGGCUUUUCUCUCUCCCCUGCCCCUUUUCCCUGUUGCACCUCUGCAGUGUCCUGAGGGUUGAUGGAAUCUAGUUUGAAAGCUAUUGCUCUACCUCACUGCCUCCUGAAUGCAAUGUCACAAAUUUUCCCAACUUGCCAUUUCUCUCACACUGACAUAAAGCAUUAGAAACCUGUUGUGAAGUAGGAAAGCUAACUGGGUCAGUAGCUGAUAAGAUAAUCUGGCCUAGGGGAUAGAUGAUUAGGAUUUCAGAGAAGGAAAGGUCACCCAAUUGAUUUGACUCUGUCCUGGGGCGAUGAUAUGGUGAAGAUUUCUACAGAUGCAGCAGAAACAUCCGGAAACCAGGUGUGUCCCAGCUCUGGUCUGGGAACCAUUUCAUAAAUUGGCAAAUAUCCAGGAUAUACACAUGGCUAAUUCUGAGGUGUACUGAAGUUUCAAUAAAGCUACUUUGGUAAUGACUAGGAGAAGAAAAUCCUAUGGCUGGACUUCAUUAAUGUUGUAUGGCCAAGGACAGUGUUUCUCUAAUUAUGGCCUGUGAACCUCCCUGGAUCUCGAUCACCUGCAUAUUUGGGAAUAUGCAGGUUCCAGGGUCCCACCUGAAACUACAGAAUCAGUAUUGAGAUCCCAGGUGAUUCUCAUGUACACUCAAGUGUAAGAUUAUUAGCACCUGGACUUUGGAAGCAGCCAGAUAAAAGUUUGGAUCCUGGGUUGGCUACUUCCUAGAUGUGGCCAAGUCAUUUUACUUGCCAUGCUUUUGCUUUUCUUGUCUGUAAAGUGGACAUGAUACCUAUUUUACAGGGUGGUUUUGAGGAAUAAGGUCAGCAUUAAACAUUUAUCCUCUUUAGGGAGACAGAGAGAGGAGAUGAAAUAGAGUAGAAUUGAGAAAAGCAGUUUCUUAGACCUCCCUGUGAAGUUUUUCUUAUUUCAACAAAUAAUAAAAUAAAAAAUUCAUACACUUUCUUAGUGCUUGUUUGGACUUAAGAAUUUAAAAAUAACUUGAGAGUUUUAUAGGCAUCAAGGAUGAUGUCUGAGUGCUGGAAAUACUUGACCUUUGGCUGGAAGGUGGAGUGAAGGUGCCAGCGGACUGAACCCUGGGAGACUGUCUUCUGUUUUAUGAAUGUGGUCAUGCUCUGAGUUAAAUGAUGUCCCUGGUAAGGACAUCUCCCAGAAAAGCUUAGAAAUCAGCUGUAAUCCUUGUUCCCUGCAAGACCCUUGACUUGGAUGUUAAGAGUUCCCUAUAAUGAUAAUAGCUACCUUUACUGAGCACUACUUGUUAGCCAGGCAUUGUGCUAAGUGCUUUAUGUGCAUUAUGUUAUGCAAUCCUGCAAAUACCGUUACGGGGCAGGUAAUAUUAUUAAUGCUAUUUUAACAAUGACAAAAGUAACUCACUGAUUAGGACUCUGAGUAGUAUCCAUACCACUGUAAGGAUAACAAAGAGCAAAGGCAGAUUAGGUCCGGCUCUGCUGUUUGUUGGGUGUUUUACUUAGAUUUAACCCCUAGACAAGUCUGAGUCUUGAUAUGGUCUUGCCUAUUACUCUACUUCUUUCUCUGCUGUGCACAGAUGGAGACUGGCAUCUGUAUUAAUACCAGGUUGUGUGCUUAAAGUCCAAUGAAUAGCAUUUUUUUUUUUUUUUGAGAUGGAGUCUCAUUCUGUUGCCCCGGCUGGAGUGCAGUGGUGCGAUCUCUGCUCACUGCAACCUCCGCCUCCCAGGUUCAAGCAAUUCUCCCACGUCAGCCUCCUGAGUAGCUGGGAUUACAGGGGUAUGCCACCAUGCCUGGCUAAUUUUUGCAUUUUUAGUAGAGAUGGGGUUUCACCAUGUUGGCUAGGCUGGUCUCGAACUCCUGACCUCAGGCGAUCCACCUGCCUUGGUCUCCCAAAGAGCUGGGAUUACAGGCGUGAGCCACUGCACUGAGCCCAGUGAAUAGCAUUUAAUAAAUGUUUGUAAAUGCUCUGAAUGUACUAUGAUAAUACAACAAAGUUGUACACAUAAGAUUAUCAUAGCAAAAAAUGGAGAGUAACCUUGGUUACUUCUAUAUAGUUAUUUAAUUUUAAUUUUUUUUUUUGAGAUGGAGCCUUGCUCUGUCACCCAGGCUGGAGUAUAGUGGCGUGAUCUUGGCUCACUGCAACCUCCACCUCCUAGCCUCCUAGGUUCAAGCGAUUCUCCUGCUUCAGCCUCCUGAGUAGCUGGGACUACAGAUAUAUACUACCAUGCCCCUUUAAUUUUUGUAUUUUUGGUAGAGAUGAAGUUUCACCAUUUUGGCCAGGCUGGUCUUGAACUCCUGACCUCAAGUGAUCAGCUCACGUCUGCCUCCCAAAGUGCUGGGAUUACAGGUGUCAGCCACCGUGCCAGGCCAAUUUUUUUUUUUUUUUAGAGACAGAGUCUUGCCUUGUCAGCCAGGUUGGAGUGUAGUGGUAUGAUCACAGCUUAUUGCAACCUCGAACUCUUGGGCUCAAGUGAUCCUCCAGCCUCAGCCUCCCGAGUAGCUAUGGCUACAGGUGCAUACAAUCAAAUGCCUGGCUAAUUAAAAACAUUUUUUUUUCUGUAGAGAUAGUUUCUCGCUAUGUUGUCCAGGCUGGUCUUGAAAUCCUGGCCUCAAGCAAUCCUCCUGCUUCAGCGUGGGAUUACAAGCAUGAGCCACUGUGCCCAGCCUAUACAGCCAUUUAAAAUGAUUGUAUAGCUCUAUAAUAAAUGAAUAACAUACAUACCAUAAUAAAAGAAUAAAGCAGGAUAUGAAGUAGCAUGAUUAAUGGAAUCUCAUUUUUGAAAAUCAAAUAUGUUUAUAUGUACAUAGAAAAAAUAUGGAAGGAUCUACCCCAUAAUGUUAGUUGAGCUCUGAAUGGUAGAUUUAGGAUUUUUUUUUUUUUUUUUUUUUUUUGAGACAGUCUCACUCUGUCACCCAGGCUGGAGUGCAGUGGCGUGGUCUCAGCUCACUGCAACCUCUGCCUCCCGGGUUCAGGUGAUUCUCUUGCCUCAGCCUCUGGAAUAGCUGGGAUUACAGGUGCCCGCCACCACACCUGGCUAAUUUUUGUAUUUUUAGUAGAGACGGGGUUUCUCUAUGUUGGCCAGGCUGGUUUUGAACGGCUGACCUUGUGAUCCGCCUGCCUCAGUUUCCCAAAGUGCUAGGAUUACAGGUGUGAGCCACCAUGCCCUACGAUUUAGGAUGUUUUUUGACUCUGAAAAAGAAAAAUUGUCUGAUUUUUCUUUUUCUGUUUUUAUUUUUACAGUGAGCUGAACACACAUCAUUUUUAUAACUGGGAAAAAUGUGCCACUAUUAUUUUGAAAAUUAAAUUCCUUGGAAAUAAAAAGCUAAACAUUCUACCAUCUUCCAUGUUAUUGUGGGUUUGUAUUUGCUUCUCUAAGAGAGUGAUUAGGAGAUGCUCUGAAGACUCUCAGCACACCAAAAGGAUAGCUAUUCUAAACAUUCCUUUUAGCACCUUCACAUACAUUCAAUGCAUUCCUCAAUGUAUCACCCAAUGCAUUCUUGUUGAAUAAGUGAAUGAGCAUUGAGAAGAAAAUCUGUGAUCAAUAUGCAAAGUGUUGCAAAAGAAGAACACUUUCAUAAGGAUGAGAAGUCAUAACAAUAGAAAAUAAUAACUUUCAAUUUCUUUUUCUUAGAUUCCUGGUAGCUGGAUUAAUUUGUGUUCAAAGUGAUUCACUGAGUCUAGUGAGAUCCUAGAACAAGGUUGGGGCUGUUUAAGUCACUCUAAGAGCUCCCUCCAGACAUUUCUGUCAGCCUGUCUACACCAUAUCUCUUUUCAUUAUUCUUGUUGCCUUUGGUGGCUGUCACAGACAGGAGAGCCAAAUAAUGCUCCUAGCAGCACAUAUCAUUUCUGCUUUGUCCAUCUCUUGCUCACUAUAAUAGGACAUUCUUCUUCCACAGAUAGAACAGAUUUCUGGUUCUUAGAAAGGCUUCCCAACCUCUGCCCAGGCGUUCAUUUUAUUUGUGAUUCAGAGAAUGGCUCUUGGCCAACACAAGAGAAUGCCAAUUCAGGGACUACUGUGGUUUGAAUGUCCCCUCUGAAACUCAUGUUGAAAUCUAAUUGCCAUUGUAAUAGUAUUAACAGUGGGACCUUUAAAAGGUGCUUAGGUCAUGAGGGGUCAUGAUGGAUUAAUGCUGUUGUCACUGGGAGUGGGG